AUGAACGCUGGCUACAGGCUUAACACCUGCAAGUCGAGGGGAAACGACGGGGAAGCUUGCUUCCCCGGGCGUCGACCGGCGCACGGGUGAGUAACGCGUAUCCAACCUGCCUCUGACUGAGGGAUAACCCGUCGAAAGUCGGCCUAAUACCUCAUGGUAUCGUCUGCGGGCAUCCAACGACGAUUAAAGAUUUCAUCGGUCAGGGAUGGGGAUGCGUCUGAUUAGCUUGUUGGCGGGGUAACGGCCCACCAAGGCUACGAUCAGUAGGGGUUCUGAGAGGAAGGUCCCCCACAUUGGAACUGAGACACCGUCCAAACUCCUACGGGAGGCAGCAGUGAGGAAUAUUGGUCAAUGGGCGAGAGCCUGAACCAGCCAAGUAGCGUGCAGGAAGACGGCCCUAUGGGUUGUAAACUGCUUUUAUGCGGGGAUAAAGUGAGGGACGUGUCCCUCAUUGCAGGUACCGCAUGAAUAAGGACCGGCUAAUUCCGUG
RNAcentral lists this ribosomal RNA (490 nucleotides) under uncultured bacterium. RNAcentral describes it as "partial 16S ribosomal RNA". It matches the Rfam family "Bacterial small subunit ribosomal RNA", at positions 29 to 507 of the family's 1533-position model. The record is from RNAcentral.